RNAcentral lists this ribosomal RNA (253 nucleotides) under uncultured bacterium. RNAcentral's name for it is "partial 16S ribosomal RNA". It matches the Rfam family "Bacterial small subunit ribosomal RNA", at positions 524 to 776 of the family's 1533-position model. The record is from RNAcentral.
UACGUAGGGUGCGAGCGUUGUCCGGAAUUAUUGGGCGUAAAGAGCUCGUAGGCGGUUUGUCGCGUCGACUGUGAAAACCUGGGGCUUAACUCUGGGCCUGCAGUCGAUACGGGCAGGCUAGAGUGUGGUAGGGGAGAUCGGAAUUCCUGGUGUAGCGGUGAAAUGCGCAGAUAUCAGGAGGAACACCGGUGGCGAAGGCGGAUCUCUGGGCCAUUACUGACGCUGAGGAGCGAAAGCGUGGGGAGCGAACAGG